RNAcentral lists this long non-coding RNA (6641 nucleotides) under Salvia miltiorrhiza (redroot sage). RNAcentral describes it as "long non-coding RNA (SMIL_LNC012215)". Lineage: Eukaryota; Viridiplantae; Streptophyta; Magnoliopsida; Lamiales; Lamiaceae. The record is from RNAcentral.
AAUUUCUAGUUAGGUAAUAACAACAGCAUUGAUAUUAACCAAAAAACUACUCCAUAUAUUAUGAUAAGGAAAAGGAAUUUAUUGUUGUAGAAAGCAACCAACAAAUCAACGCCUAAUCCUUAUCCACUCGUCCCCAUCUCUUUAUAUACACAUGUAUCAUUCCUCAGUGUCUCCAUCUCUCUUUCUCUCUCUCUCUAAAACGCAGAUAGAUGUAGUGCGGGCCGAGAGGUGAAAUGGGGGUCGAUUUCGGGCCAACAUCUGUGGGGAUCGGUGGAUUGGAAAUCGAAAUUGCUUUUGCCAUUGCUCUCUUCUUUUGAUUUCCAACUCCACCCAUUCCUAUGGAUUUUGGGAUUUCCCCUCAUUUCGUCUAUCUGUUUUCUUCUUCGCUUAUUUUACAUGUAAGGUAUAGUUCCUUUAUGUGAUUAACAUUUACUUUAGCUAAUUCAGAGUUUAAUGUCUUUCUAUUUUAUUUUCUCGGGAAAUUCUAUGUUUUGUGACUUGUGAGUAAUUCAUCUUUAAGAAAAAUGGUAGAGUAUACACAAAUACAACAGCGAGUCUGUACUUUCUCUCUCUAAAACAACAUAUCCAAUUAAUAAUUAUUGUAUUUUCGAGUAAUUUUUUCAUGACUUGUUAAUUGUAUAUUUAGUUAUUCACUUUACACUUAAUUGAGUUUAUAUUGAUUUUAUUUUUGAACUAAGAGUACUGCUAAAUGGACCGAUUUGAUCCGGAUCAAAAGCACUCACUAAUCAUUAUUAUCAUUAAACAAACUUAAAAAGACCUAACCCUUCCUUACUUUUUUGGCUUUUCGGCCCCAAAAUUUUAUAUGCGCAAUAAAAUGUGUAACUUCAAAACAGUAUGUGGAAGCAAAAAAAAAAAACAAUAUGUGGAACAUGUUCCUCAAUAUGUGAAACAAAAUGUAUGAUGAUGCCGAUCUUCUUUAAUUUAAUUUUUGAUCCUCACAGAUUUAUCGUUUAACUGAUUUAUUUAUUUUUAUUUUAUUCUUGUCGUGAGCUAAACCUAGCAUUUGAGAUCUCGUACGUUGUAGAGAGAAAUGAAUUUUGUUUUUAUCGUUUGAGCUGGAAUCAUGAAGCUCAAAUUGGGCGAUCCACAUUUAUUAUCAGUAUCACUAUCACACGUAAAGAAUUCAAAUUAACCGGGGUAUUCCUCCAAAAUAUGAAACUCUAGGCUCAUCAACAACGAUUUUCGAAACUAGAAAUUCUAAAAUUAAAUGAACAUGAUUUAAUGGGGUUUAAAUAAAUCAAUCCAUGUAUUUUUCCUUAAUUUUUCUUGUUCUCUUAAUAUUUAAAUUAGCAACUUUUGUUUAUAUAUGUAGUCUAUACCUUCUUUCAUAAAAAAAAAAAAAAAAAUCACUUCAUACCCACUCUCCAAUUCAAUGAGUCAGUUUGUCCAAAAUUAGCUAAUUACAUUUCAAAAGGGCUAUGGAUAAGUAUUUAUUCACAGUUGUUUCGCUUGUUAAUUCACGUUGCGAAACGGUAAAAAAAGCCACGAGGCUCUCGUGCGUAAUCUGACACGCUGCAAUUUUCCCUACCACCUUAUCCGAAUGUCGGUGGCCACGGAAAUUAAUAAAAUGGCAUCAGAGCUUUUUAUUUGAAAAUUAUUUUUGUUUAUUCAAUUAGACUUUUAAAGAAGGUGAGAGCUUCUUUGGAAAUGAAAAUAUGAACCUCGUGAUUGUGUCAUUGUGUGAGAUGUUAAAUGGCGUAUGCAGUUUUCUUGCUUUAGUUCAAAAAAAUGAAUUUGUAAUUUAUUUCAUUGUCUUAUUAUAUUAUGAUUAUGUUAGGCUUGUAAUUUUUUGAACUGUGUGGUUCAUUAUUGAGUUGCACCCUUCAUCCGCUUUUUGAUAAAAUUUUACGCACUAUAUUUUGGGAUCAACUAAGAAACCUACGAAGGACAACCAGCAUAUUCAUAGUCUAUAAAUAAAAAAUACAUGCAAGGAAGUUACUCCUAAGCUUUGAGAAAUCAUCUCAUAUUCGUCUAAAUUCUCCGAGGACUCGAGGAUAGAGCAAAAGAGAGUGAUUGCUAAAUAAUGCACUAAGAGCAUCCACAGCCGUUGGCUUGACGGUGGGCUCCCUGGGCCCCCCGAGGCACCAGACUCCACAGCUGUUGAGUCCCACCUUCAGGCCUAGCUCGCCGGAGGAUGUUGAGUCCCACCUUCAGGCAGGGGCGAAGCUAGGCCCCUAAAGACAAGGGGGGCAAAAUAUAAUAAAGAAAAUUUAAAAUAAUUUCUAUAAAAAUUAUUUAAUAAAAUAUUUUUACAAUAAUUCCCUACAACCACUCAUAUUUUGAAAGUGACGUAAUAUCAACUGUUUCAAUUUUUUUUUCUCAAUAUAAGUAACUAAACAAUCAUUCAUCAAACGAUCACCCAUUUGAUUUCGAAGCUGACUUUUGACAAUCUUCAUGACAGAAAAAGCUUUUUAUAUUUUCACAGUUGCAGUUGUCACAGGUAAAACAAGUGCAAAUUUAAUAAGAUUAUACAUCAAUAAAACACAAUAUCUCUUUUUGUCUUCAUCAUCUCCAUUGCAAGACUUCCUAAUUGGUACAAAUUUAACUUUUUUAUCUUCUUUCCGAUCUCCACGUUAGACAAAAGAAAAAAAAAUGUAGUUUAUCAAAGUCAACUUUUUUCCAAUCUCCAUAUUUUGCCCCUUUUUCUCAAAAUUUUGGUGGGGCAAACUCUUUUUUUUUAUAAUAAUUAUACACAUAUAUUAAUAUAAUAAGUAUACUAAUUUUUUUUUGAGGGGGGCAAUUGCCCCACCACCUCAUAGUGUGGCUCCGCCCAUGCCUUCAGGCCUAGCUCGCCCCAUCCUCCGGCGGUGCAACCAUGCGACUUUCUCUUUCCUCUUCCAGGCCCAGUGCGCAUGUGCAUGCCUCAACUUGAGCCGAUGAUCCUUCCGAUAGCAGAUCGCGCGAGUUGGGCUUGCGCCCACUCCGCAAGUCACGUUGUUGACGCUCUAACCUUGAUUUAAUUUCCAAGUUUAUUAUCAAUUUUGAAAUGUUUUCAACUAGUAGCAUGCAGAAGUUUUCGAUUUUUUUUUCUGCCCGCUUAACAUUGAAGAAUACAUACACCACAAAAAUCUAUGUGUCCCAUAAUAAUAUUUUUGGAGACAAAUUCUUUAAUAAAUAUGUUAUGCUAUGAUUUUGAGUCUUGAAAAAAUUGAAGUGUCUAAUUUGAUAUAUAUCGAAAAAUCGUAGCAUCAUAGAAACAUUUUAAAAUUGAAUUGAAAUUACAAUCGGAAUCAAAGUUAGCACGUUAUUAUUUAACAAUUAAUUACAGACGACCUCAGCUUCACUAGCUUUGCGCGUGGGUCAGGUCAGCCCGAAUUCGAUCCGAAUUCAACCCAAGUUCAUAUUCGAUCCGGAUCGAACUUGAGUUUUGGGAAGCACAGAGGAGUGCGGCUCUUAAUCCUAUAAUAACUUAUAAAGCGUGGUAAGAGUUACAAUCAAAUGUGGUGCGAUUUUAUCCCUUAAUCAUUUUAGCUUUGAAACUAAUCUACAUAAUUAUAUUCGUUUUGAAUUGAAAGACUAUCCGAAAGAGGGAGUCUUCUUUCGCAAUAAUUGUCGAUUGUUGCAGACUAAAAGUAGCACUCUAAACUAUUACUUGUAUUUAUUAAAAAAUUUUACAUAUUUUUUUGACUCACGCAAACAUAUAUACGAACCUCUUUAAAUGACCAGGGCCGUCUUAGGGCGGACGAGCAUGAGUGAUCGCACAGGGCCCAUCAUUUUUGGGGGCCUAAAAAACUUUAUAUCCUUUUAUAUACUCCCUCCGUCCCAUAAAUCUUGACACGUUUGGUUUCGGCACGGGAAUUAAGGAGUUGUAGAUUAGUAUUUUAAAUGUGUAAUUAAUAAAGUAUAAAAGUGAUAAAGUAUGAGAGAGAAUGUAAUAAAGGUGAUAAAAUAGGAGAGAGAAUGUAAUUAUAAAUGUGAUAAAGUAUGAGAUAGAAGGUAAUAAUUAUUACCCAAAAUGGAAACAUGUCAAGAUUCAUGGGACGGCCCAAAAAGGAAAACGUGUCAAGAUUUGUGGGACGGAUGGAGUAUAUUAUUAUUAUUAUUACAAGCCAACUUUUUUGUUUUUUUAUGUAUACCACUAAUAUUAAAAAAAAUGGGGCCCAAAAAAUUACACCUCAAAAGAAUUUUGGAGCCUAAUUAAAUUACAUUCCUAAAUAUUUUUAGAUAAUAGCGUGAUUGCACGAAAAUCUUUAAUUUUUUUUGCUGUUUGCUGAAGUUGAGGAUAUCAAUGAGAAUAGAGAUAACUCUGAGCGUGGAUGAUCACCUUCUUAAUAUGCCAAAUGACGAACAUAGAGUCAAUGAUGAACAUUUUAUUCCUUCAUGUGAUAUAUAUAAUCCGAGAAAUAGGGAUAAUAUUGAUAAUAAUGAAAGCGGUAUUUUAGUUGGAAAAUGGUCUAUUAUAGAAAUAAAUCUUGUAUUUUCUUUAGACAACAUCUGUAGGCAGUUUUUUUAUGCUCACUAUACUAGAAAAUUAAGCUAUGGUGAUGAGGUGCAAGAUCGAAAGUGGUUAGUAUAUAGUAAAAAUAUUUGUCAAAUACACAUUGAGAAAGUCGUAUUAAAAGUGUUCGAGCAAUUAGAUUUCAGAUUGUUGAAUUGAAAGAUGCUUUAUUAAAAUUAUGUGAUAUUUGUGUUGAUGCAAAGUCGAAAAGUGAAGCUGAAAGUUUAGCUGCAUCAAUUGAAAUUUUUGAAUUUUUACUUGGUAUGAUAUUUUAUUUGUUGUAAACAUGGUAAGUAAAAAUUUACAAUCAAAAUAUCUUUGCAAGUAUUAUAGAUGACUUAUCAUGGACGGAGGGAGUAUUAUUAAUUGACUUUGCAAGUACAAAAGGCAAGAAGAAGUCAUUUUUUAUUAAUUACUUAAUAUUUUUUUUAUUCGAAAUGUUAUAAUGUGACUUAAAAAAAGUAGUCAUCUUAUGUUUUUAUGAUGGUGGAUAGGGGCUCAUUUUUAUCGUUUCGCUCUGGGCCCAUUUUCAAUUGAAAACGGCACUAUAAGUCUGUAAGUGACUCGUAGCAUUUGCCCUUUUUUUUCACCUUAUUCUUAGCCUUUAAAAUCUUGAAGAUGGGAAUCAUAUUUUAUCCUUUUUCAGCAAAACAUGUCAAAUUCUCAAAAUAGUAGUGAUGAUAACUUAGUUACAAGUUCGCAAUGUAAGACAUAUCGUCACACAACUUAUAAAUUAACAUGUAUACUUAUUAUCUAAAUGGGAGUGCCAUAAUGUAAAAGGGGUUAUGAUGAUCGCUCAAAUUAGGUAGAAAAAUAAAUGAAGCAAUCUUUUGCAUCUGAUGACAUUAAUUCCAAAUUUUAAAAGUUAUAAGAAGAUGUAGCACCACUAAGACGUGACUGAAAGUGAUUUUAAGUUCAAGUGUCUCAUCUCUCCCGCCUAUUUUCCACAGCCAAUUAUAUAUCAAACUAAUAAUCAAAUGAAAUUCCAACAACUAUUAGGUGUGAGAUGAAAUCAUUGGGCAUACCAAUUCAUCAUCGCACACAACUACAUAACUCCCAAUCUUCAUAUAAUCACCCAAUCUGCACUACUUAGAACUACUUGUAAUAGCAAAAAAAAUAUUAUAAAAAAAAAAAUCGUAAUGAAUCAGAAAAUAUUGAAGUUCACCUUAUGGGCUAUCUUGCUAUCCAUGAUCUUUUCUCAUGCUGGUAAUGUCUACUCUUUCUUGAUGAUCUUUUCUCAUGCUGGUAAUGUCUACUCUUUCUUGAUGAUCUUUCUUAUGUAUCAAUCUUUGUUGUUUAAUUCGUCGUUGUUUGUAGCGUCGUACGACCCGUUGGAUCCAUUUGGGAACGUAACAAUCAAAUGGGACGUCAUAUCUUGGACUGCCGAUGGAUACGUGGUGAGCACAAUACGUUCCUAACCCUAACAACACAUUUUGAUUUCGUUUACAUGGCGCGUGACAAAAAUUGGGACGUGGAAUAGGCGUUAGUGACGAUGUUCAACUUCCAAAUGUAUCGACACAUGAUGAGCCCCGGGUGGACGCUGACGUGGGGUUGGGCGAAGAAGGAGGUGCUAUGGUCCAUGGUGGGUGCCCAAACCACGGAGCAAGGCGAUUGCUCCAAAUUCAAAGGAAAUGUGCCUCAUUGUUGCAAGAGGAACCCUACGGUUGUUGAUUUGCUCCCCGGUGUUCCCUACAACCAACAGAUUGCCAAUGCUGCAAAGGCGGGGUCGUGGCCUCGUGGGGCCAGGACCCCGCCUCCGCGGUCUCUGCCUUCCAGGUCAGCGUGGGCCUCUCCGGGACCACCAACAAGACCGUCAAGCUCCCCACCAACUUCACCCUCCUCGGCCCGGGCCCCGGCUACACUUGCGGCCCCGCCAAGAUCGUGCCCUCCACCGUCUACCUAACUCCGGACCGGAGGAGGAAAACUCAAGCUCUCAGUAAGCACUAAUCAAGAUCGGGUGAUGUGGUUGAUCUGAGCACGUAUACUAACUAAAAUAAUGGAUUUUACUUUUUUGCAGUGACGUGGAACGUGACGUGCACUUACUCGCAGCUCCUGGUGUCGAAGCACCCGAGCUGCUGCGUCUCGUUGUCGUCCUUCUACAACGAGACUAUCACUCCCUGCUCGAAAUGCGCCUGCGGCUGCCACAACAAGAAGGAGUGCAUCAAGUGAGACAUAAUUAAUC